Molecule: ribosomal RNA, 1310 nt
Filed under: Salmonella enterica subsp. enterica serovar Enteritidis
Lineage: Bacteria; Pseudomonadati; Pseudomonadota; Gammaproteobacteria; Enterobacterales; Enterobacteriaceae
Description: partial 23S ribosomal RNA
Rfam family: Bacterial large subunit ribosomal RNA
Source: RNAcentral
GUGUGUUCCAGGUAAAUCCGGUUCACUUUAACACUGAGGCGUGACGACGAGGCACUACGGUGCUGAAGCAACAAAUGCCCUGCUUCCAGGAAAAGCCUCUAAGCAUCAGGUAACAUCAAAUCGUACCCCAAACCGACACAGGUGGUCAGGUAGAGAAUACCAAGGCGCUUGAGAGAACUCGGGUGAAGGAACUAGGCAAAAUGGUGCCGUAACUUCGGGAGAAGGCACGCUGACACGUAGGUGAAGUGAUUUACUCAUGGAGCUGAAGUCAGUCGAAGAUACCAGCUGGCUGCAACUGUUUAUUAAAAACACAGCACUGUGCAAACACGAAAGUGGACGUAUACGGUGUGACGCCUGCCCGGUGCCGGAAGGUUAAUUGAUGGGGUCAGCGCAAGCGAAGCUCCUGAUCGAAGCCCCGGUAAACGGCGGCCGUAACUAUAACGGUCCUAAGGUAGCGAAAUUCCUUGUCGGGUAAGUUCCGACCUGCACGAAUGGCGUAAUGAUGGCCAGGCUGUCUCCACCCGAGACUCAGUGAAAUUGAACUCGCUGUGAAGAUGCAGUGUACCCGCGGCAAGACGGAAAGACCCCGUGAACCUUUACUAUAGCUUGACACUGAACAUUGAGCCUUGAUGUGUAGGAUAGGUGGGAGGCUUUGAAGUGUGGACGCCAGUCUGCAUGGAGCCGACCUUGAAAUACCACCCUUUAAUGUUUGAUGUUCUAACGUGGACCCGUUACCCGGGUUGCGGACAGUGUCUGGUGGGUAGUUUGACUGGGGCGGUCUCCUCCUAAAGAGUAACGGAGGAGCACGAAGGUUGGCUAAUCCUGGUCGGACAUCAGGAGGUUAGUGCAAUGGCAUAAGCCAGCUUGACUGCGAGCGUGACGGCGCGAGCAGGUGCGAAAGCAGGUCAUAGUGAUCCGGUGGUUCUGAAUGGAAGGGCCAUCGCUCAACGGAUAAAAGGUACUCCGGGGAUAACAGGCUGAUACCGCCCAAGAGUUCAUAUCGACGGCGGUGUUUGGCACCUCGAUGUCGGCUCAUCACAUCCUGGGGCUGAAGUAGGUCCCAAGGGUAUGGCUGUUCGCCAUUUAAAGUGGUACGCGAGCUGGGUUUAGAACGUCGUGAGACAGUUCGGUCCCUAUCUGCCGUGGGCGCUGGAGAACUGAGGGGGGCUGCUCCUAGUACGAGAGGACCGGAGUGGACGCAUCACUGGUGUUCGGGUUGUCAUGCCAAUGGCACUGCCCGGUAGCUAAAUGCGGAAGAGAUAAGUGCUGAAAGCAUCUAAGCACGAAACUUGCCCCGAGAUGAGUUCUCC